This is a long non-coding RNA of Pongo pygmaeus (Bornean orangutan), 388 nucleotides long. RefSeq lists it as uncharacterized. The transcript is spliced from 4 exons. Lineage: Eukaryota; Metazoa; Chordata; Mammalia; Primates; Hominidae. The record is from RefSeq and is a predicted model, not a curated record.
AGACUUCCCCAGCAGGCUGUAACAUCAGUUGCCCGCAAUGCCAGUCAGGAAAAUCUUGCUUCUCAAACUCCUGUCUUGACCCCUUCCUGAACUUUGCCUCCUGGAUCUUGAGGUCUGCCUUCUGUGGAAGAGAAAUACUAGAAUCACUGAACUGUGAACUAGAGCCCUGGGAUUAUCAACAGCCAGCUGAAAUUGUGAGAGCCACCUUAUAGAAAGCCUAACAGCAAAGACUGGAGAGAGGCUUCCAGCCAACAGCCAGCAAGGAAUUGAAGCCUUCAGUCCAAUAGCAGUGAGGAAUUGAAUCCUGCCAACAGCCUCGUGGACUGACUGAUUCAUGCUGGGCUUCAGACAUGAGAGGCUAGGAGUAGGAGGCAUGCCUUGUUCAAAG